RNA transcript from Macrobrachium nipponense, 1614 nucleotides. RefSeq lists it as uncharacterized. The record is from RefSeq and is a predicted model, not a curated record. The transcript has 4 exons. Lineage: Eukaryota; Metazoa; Arthropoda; Malacostraca; Decapoda; Palaemonidae.
GGUUUCCGUGGCCGUGGUCCAAGAAGAUUCUAUCGUGGCCGCUUCUUUGGAAAGUGGUCGUGGCCGCGGUGGAAGAGGUGGCUAUGAUCAAGCAGGUAUAUGAACUAUGGAGAGGAAGUCAUUGACGGUGAUGGAAUGUCAAUGAGGGGAAGAGGAAGAGGCCGUGGCCGCGGAAGGGGCCGUGGAGGCAGAGGUCCUCGUGGAUAUUUCCGCAGAUAUUAUGCUGGUUCACGUCCCCAACCUGAAGGCAUGAUGGGAGGACCUUCAGAAGGCGUUCACGCCGCAGGUUCCGCCGUGGUGGACGUUGGCCGUGGACGUGGCAGAAUAGGUAGUGGACCAGAAACAAAACUUGGUACUGAGGAUGUGGAGACUAAAGUGAAAAUUGAGAUUAAAGAGGAGCAGUUUGAAGCUCAUGAAGAGCAGCAUGAAGAUCAUGAAGAGCAGCAAUGAAGCUCGUGAAGAGCAGCAUGAAGCUCAUGAAGCGCCUCGAGCUCGUGAUGAGCAGCAUGACGCUCAGACAAAGUGUUUGGGUGAUGGACAAGGCCAGGAGGGACAGUCUGCUGGCUCUGGUCAGGCCCAGCAGGCAGUGGAGAACACAACUGCUGAAAGUUCAGCAUAAGCUAUCCUCAUCCUCCCCUGCAAUCAAGCCACCAAAGCUAACGAGGCCACUAUUUAGGUUAUCCAGAUAAAGUAACCUGAACAGUGUUCUUAAUUUAAGGGUGGAUAGGGCUGCUGCUGCUGCUGUCAUACCCCCUCCCAGCCCAUCGGAAGCCCAGCAGGAGCUCUGUCCACCACCCGGAACUUCCAGUGACAAACAAACCACCGACAAAUGAAAGGGACAGUAAUGCAAGAGCAUAAGCUUACAAAAACCAGCUGUUGCUCCCGGUUACCAGAAAGUCGGCUCUGACCACCUUCAGAAGGAAGCUAAUGUGUCCUCUCUCCGGGUCCGGUAACAAAGAGGUCACGCAAUUUGCAAAGACGAACCCACGGUCAAGGGUUGGAGUCUAAAUGGCCCUUUCUUUGUCGCGCAACACCUGAACACACCAUGAAACAAAUGUACAUUUAGGGUGGGAAAGCACAGUUCAUACAUAACAGAUUAAAUAAAAAGAUUAAACAAAUCACAAUGGGUGGUAAAAUAAUAAAACCAUAAAAAAAAAAAAAAUACUGACAGCAUUUAUAUCUGAACUUUAGGAUCUAAGUCCGUGGUGCUGAGGUGUGUUUGUUGCUGGUCUGUUUCCACCAAAAAAAGUGUAAAAUCACAACUAAACCUAGUGCACAUGAUCAUUACCCUGUUAGGCCCACAUAUCCAGCUAGAAGUUGCUGCAUUCGUUCUAACCUAGACGUUGCAGUUGGUUACAUUGCCAUUCACAAGUUGAGAAUGUAAUGAUGUGGGUGCCUCUGGUUAACUUUUAGUUAUGAAUGGAAAUUUAGUAAAUUUUUAUUUAAGAAAGGGACAUGCUGAAUGUAGCAUGGUUAUAGGCAAUACUAAAGUGAAUUGAUUAUUUGAUUGGCCAGUUUUUUGAUUACCUAUUUUGACAUUUUUCUACAUAAAAUUUUUGUAGGAAAUAAUUGUGCCACAGACAUGUGCAUUGCAAUAAAAUCCAUAAAAAUGUA